RNAcentral lists this ribosomal RNA (406 nucleotides) under uncultured bacterium. RNAcentral's name for it is "partial 16S ribosomal RNA". It matches the Rfam family "Bacterial small subunit ribosomal RNA", at positions 30 to 526 of the family's 1533-position model. The record is from RNAcentral.
AUUGAACGCUGGCGGAAUGCUUUACACAUGCAAGUCGGACGAGUGGCGAACGGGUGAGUAACGCAUCGGAACGUACCGAGUCAGGGGGGAUAACUGUCCGAAAGGACCGCUAAUACCGCAUACUCUUCGAGCGGCCGAUGUCGGAUUAGCUGGUUGGCGGGGUAAAGGCCAACCAAGGCGACGAUCAGUAGCGGGUCUGAGAGGAUGAUCCGCCACACUGGGACUUGGACACGGCCCAGACUCCUACGGGAGGCAGCAGUGGGGAAGUUUGGACAAUGGGCGCAAGCCUGAUCCAGCCAUGCCGCGGGUCUGAAGAAGGCCUUCGGGUUGUAAUGGACUUUUGUCAGGGAAGCGGUACCUGAAGAAUAAGCACCGGCUAACUACGUGCCAGCAGCCGCGGUAAUAC